GUAUGAGUCUGUCUUUUAUUGUGCAAGGUCAAAAGGGGAAGGAGGUCUGACCUUUCUCGCAGUAUCCCCGUUUUGUGAAAGUAAAAACAACCCAAACGACGGUUCAAAAUAAUAAACAAAUGUACAAAUUAAUCACAUGAAAAAAACAAUGAGCUGAAAAGUCAUUUCUAACAAUCACACCGAUCUGUUACUGAUCCUUCCGACAUUUCCCGCUUCAGCCUACAAAAAUAGAACCCAAAUCGCACAGAUCUCAGAACACGCGGUCCCACAGACGACCAAUCAGCGCGCGGCUCAGCACAGGCGCCCAAUCAGCGCGCAGCUCAUCGCCGGCGACCAAUCAGCGCGCGGCUCAUCGCAGACGACCAAUCAGCGCGCAGCUCUUCGGUGUUGCCCCAAAGAGUUAAAACGUGGAAUCGUCAGGGAGAGCGUGCGUUACACAGAUACCCCCCCCCCCCCCCCUUCAAACCGCUCGGCAUGCAAACUAAAUGUAAAAAAAAUAAUAAUAGUGUAACAAUGAACUCGCUGGAUGAGCCCAAAAGUCCUAAAAUCUCCCCUCAAGCCGGCCAAGACGCAGACCGCCCCUCCCGCCCCCGCUGGGUUUAACCUCCCAGGUGAUAACGGGCACUAACCUGCGCAGGAAGAGAACCCACGUGGAGCUGCUCCUCCAUCUUGUUUCACUGACUAGACUGCUAGUGGGACACACACACACUCACACACACACACACUAACAUGCUGACAGAUCACACACACACACACACACACACACACUAACAUGCUGACAGAUCACACACACACACACACACACACACUAACAUGCUGACAGAUCACACACACACACACACACACACACUAACAUGCUAACAGAUCACACACACACACACACUAACAUGCUGACAGAUCACACACACACACACACACUAACAUGCUAACAGAUCACACACACACACACACACACACUAACAUGCUAACAGAUCACACACACGUGCACCAAGCAGCUGUGAUUAUUGACGAGCGCAGGGCGGCGUGUGAAGGGCGAGAGAGGAAGUCGCCCCCGGGAGCGGCGCCCGUCGGCCCCGCUCCUCGGCAAUGGGGGGACCUGAGGCGCUUUGGGGCGUGACCCCUGCAGCAACGCACGCCUGCACGCCGCCCCUCGAGCCCCUCCAAGGGGCUCCAAGUGAUCUGCUGUGGAGACGCUGGAGAAAGACGCUCAAAGGUGCUGCGACGUGGAGCGUGUUAAACGCUCAUGCACACCUGGAAGACGCCAGAGAACCAACCCGAAGAGUUAGAACGGAGCAGGUGAGAACUCACCUUCACCUCCGUUGAAAAUGAAUAAAUGCAAUUCAAUCAGUGUGGGAGGGGGGAGCGAGGGGGGGGGGGCGAGGACACCGUGUACAGACUCUACCGACUCGGUUAGCCGAGCGCGUUUAAAUAAAAAGUGAUUUAGAUUGACGAGAGAGAGAGAAAGAGGGAGGGAGAGAGGGAGAGAGAGAGAGGGAGGGAGGGAGAGAGGGAGAGAGAGAGAGGGAGGGAGAGAGGGAGAGAGAGAGGGAGGGAGAGAGGGCCGUUACAUAAGAGAAUCACUAAAGCAGCAGAUUAGCGACGCAGAGACGAGUUCAAGUGAGAAAAAUCCAAACGUAACUAUGGACGGAUUGUGAAAAGAUUUCUUUUUUUUAAUGAAAUGAACAUACAAUGCGGUUUAUAUGUUUUACAACGUGCACGACGCGGUGCCACUACCCAGGAUGCAUUUUGGCAUCCGUGAAGACGAGUGACGGCGACAUCCCCGCUGCGCUGUAUGAAGCCGGGAUUGUUGCACAGCGAAGAGAGAAUGAGAUGAAUCCAUCUCUCAGCAGGGCCGCACUUACAACUGCUCUUCAUAAGGAAAGCGCUGUGCGUGUAGAUGUGCGUCCACGGCGGCGGCGGCGGCGGCGGCCUCGUGGUCAGACGGCAAUAAGAAAAAAAAGAAAGCAGAUGCGGCUGCGCUUCCCCCGCGGCGGCCCGGUGAGGUUCACUGAGGUCGAGCACAUGAUGUACAGAGCUGUCAUGGUCACGCUCUCAACAUUACUGUGCUGCUCUCAAGUCACUAGAGACACACAGACACACACACAGCCGCCCAGCUGCCUCCGGCUGCCUUGCUCAACAGCGCCCGGGCAAUGCUAUCGCAUUAGCUUUUUCCCUCUAAGGCUACCGCUAGCCAGCUGUUUAGCCUGUUAGCAUUUUGGAUCAAAAUGCUACGUUAGCAAGUAGCAUGUGUGACGUGAGAUGAUGAGUUGCCGUCACAACUUUUGUCACGUGACCGAGGCGGAGUCACCGUCCUGCUCACCAGCGUCCUGUCCGCACGCGCGUACGUCUCCCGGUGCAGAAGAAUUUAAAAUAAGGAGUCCCGGUGACAUGCAGCACACAGCAGGGUGCGACGCGGCGCACACGCCUCGCCUCACUGCGCCACGGCUCC
This is a long non-coding RNA of Gasterosteus aculeatus aculeatus (three-spined stickleback), 2449 nucleotides long. The record is from Ensembl. NCBI's taxonomy places the organism in Eukaryota, Metazoa, Chordata, Actinopteri, Perciformes, Gasterosteidae.